This 336-nucleotide long non-coding RNA is filed under the name Prunus persica (peach). Its description in RNAcentral is "long non-coding RNA (PPER_LNC004226)". The record is from RNAcentral. Lineage: Eukaryota; Viridiplantae; Streptophyta; Magnoliopsida; Rosales; Rosaceae.
UGUGCGAAUAUUGAGCUGCACGUAAAGUAGAUGAGACACAGUAUUUAACGAGGUUCGGCUAUGCCUACGUCCCCGGAGAGCAGCAGUAGUAACUUUUCCACUAUGUAAAAUAAUAGGGCUACAACUUUAGUGUUUACAAUAUGUGUGGCUCACUGAAUUUUCUCUCUAGGAGAAUUUCUCUCUGCUCUCUCUUUCCUCUUUCUUCCUUCUCUUCCUCUUCUCUCUUUCCUCUUUUCUCUUUCCCCUUCUUUCUUUCCUCUUCUCUCUUUCCUCUUCUCUUUCCUCUUCUCUCUUCUCUCUUUCUUUCCUCUUCUUUUUCCGUUUCUCCCUUUCUCU